Molecule: ribosomal RNA, 208 nt
Filed under: uncultured bacterium
Lineage: Bacteria
Description: partial 16S ribosomal RNA
Rfam family: Bacterial small subunit ribosomal RNA
Source: RNAcentral
ACACCACUUAACAGGGGGAUAACACUGAGAAAUUGGUACUAAUACCCCAUAACAUCAGGACCGGCAUCGGUUCUGGUUGAAAACUCCGGUGGUUAUGGAUGGGCAUGCGUUGUAUUAGCUGGUUGGUGAGGUAACGGCUCACCAAGGCAACGAUACAUAGGGGGACUGAGAGGUUAACCCCCCACAUUGGUACUGAGACACGGACCAA